RNAcentral lists this ribosomal RNA (473 nucleotides) under uncultured bacterium. RNAcentral describes it as "partial 16S ribosomal RNA". It matches the Rfam family "Bacterial small subunit ribosomal RNA", at positions 28 to 507 of the family's 1533-position model. The record is from RNAcentral.
GAUAAACGCUGGCGGCGCACAUAAGACAUGCAAGUUGAACGGACUUAAUCGACAUAUUUAUAUUUUGAAGCGGUUAGUGGCGGACUGGUGAGUAACGCGUAAGGAACCUGCCUAUUAGAGGGGAAUAACAGUGAGAAAUCAUUGCUAAUACCGCAUAUGCCAUAGAUAUCACAUGAUAACAGUGGGAAAGGAGCAAUCCGCUAAUAGAUGGCCUUGCGUCUGAUUAGAUAGUUGGUGGGGUAACGGCCUACCAAGUCGACGAUCAGUAGCCGGACUGAGAGGUUGAACGGACACAUUGGGACUGAGAGACGGCACAGACACCGACGGGAGGAAGCAGUAGGGAAUAUUGCGCAAUGGAGGAAACUCUGACGAAGUGAGGCCGCGUAUAGGAAGAAGGUUUGCGGAUUGUAAACUAUUGUCGUGAGGGAAGAGAAAGGACAGUACCGAAGGAGGAAGCACCGGCUAACUACGUG